AAAAAUCACGCAACUUCAUUUCAGCUGCAAAAUGUGCGGAAGUUGGAGAGUCCUUUUUGUAUUACACGUCGCUACGUUUAUCAUCAAAACAGCGAAUACGCAACCGACGAAUGGAGGGGAUACUACGAGAUCUGAUUCUGACUCUGAUCCUGAGAAUCCGGAGAUAAAAGGAAAGAAAAAUCCAGAGGGCAAACUUAGUGCAGUCCCGUCGGAUUUGGGGCCUUCGGCGUCAAGAGGCUCGACUGAUUCAACAGGAUCAUCCGUGGGACUGACACCUUCAUCAUCAAUGGGAUCGACAACUUCAACAGGAACUGAAGAAUCAUCCUCGGAUUUCGGAAAGAAAGGAAAACCAGGUGUAGGGAAAUCUAUGCGAACAAAUAGGAAGUCAGAUGAGUGGUGGGCACGGAGUCGGAGUUCCUCGCUGAGCUCUGAUUCGUCCAGCCUCGAUUUGCCGACCAAGGAAGACCUGGCAGCUUCCAAGGAAGAAAAGCCUUCAUCACCAAAGUCAGAGGGAGAGAAGCCUCUAUUGUCAAAGGAAUCGCCGGAAAGAAUAGCGAACGCAGAAACGCCCUCAACCGAACCUGCAAAUAAAAGACCAGGGAAAUCUGUGCGAACUAGAAUUUCGAAAGAGUACUGGGACAAGGCAUCAAUUUCCUCACUGAGCUCUGACUCUUCAUCAUUCUCCUCAUUCAGCUCUGGACAUUCAUCUUCCCCAUUCAGCUCUGUGCCUUCCAGCCCCAAGGAGAGCUCUGAACCUUCCAGCCCCAAGAAGAAGGAGGAAUUAAGUGCAGAAGCGAAAUGCCAUUUGCAGUGCCUCAAUAAAGAAGGGUGGGUCAAUGGUGGAGAGGAGUACGAAAAUGCACAGAUACCGGUCAAGGAUGGAUACCUAGUUGAGGAGGACGGUGCUCCUACAUGCAAAUGCAAAUUUAACAGCCAGUUCUUGUUCUUCCUGAAUGGGAAAGGCGUUAAUACCAAGACGUACAUGGAAAUGGAAAAAGAAGAUCCAGUAAAUGCCCUUGAAUGGUUAGAAAAGCUUGGAGUCAAAGUCAACCUGCUCCAUACAACAAGGCAGAUGUCACGAUCACCGCCAGUUAAAAGGGCGGAUUUGCCGCUAGCACUCCAGAAGGAACUGGAGGAGGAAGAAUCGAAAAGAAACCGCCAUCUCGAUCGAAGAAUAAACCGCCAUCACGAUCGAACAAUAAACCGCCACCACAAUCGAAGAAUAAACCGCAAUCGUCAUCGAAAAAUGAACCGGAAUCAUCGUACAGGAGCCCGGAUAACUGCACCGAUAAGUGUCGAAUGGAUUUCGCGUUCAUUAAGCUAAAUGAAACGGAGUUAAAGGCAAAUGACAUCCCUUACCCCGGUCUAUAUAUCACGGUGCCCGUGAACGAUUCUGCCCCGAUACCGGAUUGCACUUGCAAAAUUAAUCCACGCCUGCUCGAUUAUUUGAGGGACAAGGGUCACAACGAAACUGAAUUCGUGGAGGCCCACGGGUUACACAAUGAACAUCCCUGGACAGGCCGUGUUUGGUUGGGCACAGAACCGCGCGGGUUCCGAGUCUUGUUCCACGAUGCUCCAGAGAGGGUCAAAGACCCCGCUACACCGGAAAAAGAGACGGUUACAGCUCCCGCCAAACCGGAAAAAGAGGCGGUUACAGCCCCCGCCAAACCGGAAAAAGAGGCGGUUACAGCUCCUGCCAAAGCGGGAAAAGAGGCGGUUACAGCCCCCGCCGAACCGGAAAAAGGGCCGGCCUCCAUCCCCACCACGCCAGGAAAAAAAGGGACUUGAUUAGACCACGUUUUCUCGAAU
Molecule: long non-coding RNA, 1809 nt
Filed under: Bemisia tabaci
Lineage: Eukaryota; Metazoa; Arthropoda; Insecta; Hemiptera; Aleyrodidae
Description: lncRNA ENSSSA1UGG007706
Source: RNAcentral